UCCAAUCGAACCCGGAGAUAGCUGGUUCUCCUCGAAAUAGCUUUAGGGCUAGCCUUGAGGGUCAUUAGCGCAGGUAGAGCACUGAAUGGGCGCGGGGGCCACAAAGCCUACCAACCCCUAUCAAACUACGAAUGGCGAAUAAUGUAGACCUCAGGAGUCAGUCCGCGAGAGAUAAGUUCCGCGGGCAAAAGGGGAACACCCCAGAUCAACCGCUAAGGUCCCAAAGUGCACGUUAAGUGGAGAAGGAUGUGGAAUUGCACAGACAACCAGGAUGUUGGCUCAGAAGCAGCCAUUCAUUUAAAGAGUGCGUAAUAGCUCACUGGUCGAGUGGUUGUGCGCCGAAGAUGUCCGGGGCUAAAACGUGACACCGAAGCGAUGGAUGCGUAGCAAUACGCGUGGUAGAGGAGCAUUGUGUGCUGGGAGAAGCCAGAUCGAGAGGACUGGUGGACGGCACAGAAGAGAGAAUGCCGGUAUGAGUAGCGAGAGGCAUGCGAGAAACAUGCCCGUCGAAAGCCCAAGGUUUCCUGGGGAAGGUUCAUCCACCCAGGGUAAGUCGGGGCCUAAGCCGAGGACGGAAGUCGUAGGCGAUGGACAGCAGGUGGAAAUUCCUGCACCACCGAGGAAUGAAGCAGUGACGCAGAAGGAUAACUCGAGCAGGGUGAUGGUCAACUCUGUGCAAGCAACGAGGUUGGGGUAUAGUGAAGUACGUACUCCUGUAAGCUGAGUUGUGAUGCGGACCGAAACGAAAGUAGGGAAGCGAGUGAGUUCACGCUGACAAGAAAAGCUGCUAGUACAUCCGAAGGUGCCCGUACCGGAAACCGACGCAGGUGGGCGAGGAGAGAAUCCUGAGACGAACGGGAGAACCCUUGUUAAGGAACUCGGCAAAAUGACCCCGUAACUUCGGGAUAAGGGGUGCCUACGAAAGUAGGUCGCAGAGAAUAGGCUCAAGCGACUGUUUAGCAAAAACACAGGUAUCUGCGAAAGCGAGAGCUGACGUAUAGGUGCUGACACCUGCCCGGUGCUGGAAGGUUAAGGGGACAUGUUAGCGAAAGCGAAGCAUCGAACCGAAGCCCCAGUAAACGGCGGCCGUAACUAUAACGGUCCUAAGGUAGCGAAAUUCCUUGUCGGGUAAGUUCCGACCCGCACGAAUGGUGUAACGACUUGAGCGCUGUCUCAACAGGGGGCCCGGUGAAAUUGAAGUAUGGGUGAAGAUGCCCAUUACCCGCGACUGGACGGAAAGACCCCGUAGAGCUUUACUGUAGCCUGAUAUUGGAUUUCGGUAACGGAUGUACAGGAUAGGUGGGAGGCUAGGAAACCAGGACGUCAGUCUUGGCGGAGCCGGCGGUGGGAUACCACUCUUUUGUUACUGAAACUCUAACAUGGACCCGUGAAACCGGGUAAUGGACAGUGUCAGGUGGACAGUUUGACUGGGGCGGUCGCCUCCGAAAGAGUAACGGAGGCGCCCAAAGGUACCCUCAGAAUGGAUGGAAACCAUUCGCAGAGUGCAAAGGCAGAAGGGUGCCUGACUGCGAGAGUGACAAUUCGAGCAGAGACGAAAGUCGGGCUUAAUGAUCCGGCGGUAUUGAGUGGAAAAGCCGUCGCUUAACGGAUAAAAGCUACCUCGGGGAUAACAGGCUGAUCUCCCCCAAGAGUCCACAUCGACGGGGAGGUUUGGCAC
RNAcentral lists this ribosomal RNA (1678 nucleotides) under human gut metagenome. RNAcentral describes it as "bacterial LSU rRNA". It matches the Rfam family "Bacterial large subunit ribosomal RNA", at positions 828 to 2524 of the family's 2925-position model. The record is from RNAcentral.